UACGUAGGGUGCAAGCGUUGUCCGGAAUUAUUGGGCGUAAAGAGCGUGUAGGCGGCCCGAUUAGUCCGCUGUGAAAGUCCAGGGCUCAACCCUGGAAUGCCGGUGGAUGCUGUCGGGCUAGAGUCCGGAAGGGGCGAGUGGAAUUCCUGGUGUAGCGGUGAAAUGCGCAGAUAUCAGGAGGAACACCAAUGGCGAAGGCAGCUCGCUGGGACGUGACUGACGCUGAGACGCGAAAGCGUGGGGAGCAAACAGG
This 253-nucleotide ribosomal RNA is filed under the name uncultured bacterium. RNAcentral's name for it is "partial 16S ribosomal RNA". It matches the Rfam family "Bacterial small subunit ribosomal RNA", at positions 524 to 776 of the family's 1533-position model. The record is from RNAcentral.